AUCCUGGUGUUUUUCAACACCACCCAUUUCCAGAGGAAAGAGCACG
Phytophthora ramorum (sudden oak death agent) is the source of this 46-nucleotide non-coding RNA. The record is from Rfam. NCBI's taxonomy places the organism in Eukaryota, Oomycota, Peronosporomycetes, Peronosporales, Peronosporaceae.